AGUGGUUUUUGCUUUGAACCAUAAGUUUGCCGCCGCGGCAACGCUAAAGCCAAUUAAAUGGCAAACAACAACAAACUUACGCUUUAGCAGCUUAAUAACCUGUUAGCGUGCUCCUACCUAGCAUCGCCCAUGUGACUAGACUAGGGGCUAACACAUAGUGGGAUACGCCGCUCGGUCUCCGCCUGGGGUCGACGGAAACUUGAGGGACUUGAAGUCCGCGGAUAAACAGAUUGGAUUCAUAACAGAAAGUUAAUUAAACUAUUAAGCAACAUUAUAGUAUUAAACA
This 286-nucleotide non-coding RNA is filed under the name Paenibacillus taihuensis. Lineage: Bacteria; Bacillati; Bacillota; Bacilli; Caryophanales; Paenibacillaceae. The record is from RNAcentral.